CGGUAUUAUGACCGUGCGAAGGUAGCAUAAUCAUUAGUCUUUUAAUUGAAGGCUGGUAUGAAUGGUUGGACGAGAAAUUAGCUGUCUUGAGUUUUGAAAAUUGAAUUUAACUUUUAAGUGAGAGGGCUUAAAUGAGCUAGGGGGACGAUAAGACCCUAUAAAGUUUAUACGCCGAACUAAUUAAGAGUGAUUUAGGUUUGUAAGGUUUAUUAUUGGAGAGGUGUUUAGUUGGGGCGACUAGGAUAUAAGUUAUUUAACUGUUUCUUUUUUGUAGUCAAAAAUAUUUGAGUUUAUGAUCCUUUUUUAGGAUUUUAGAAUAAAUUACUUUAGGGAUAACAGCGUAAUUUUUUUUGAGAGUUCUUAUCGAUAGAAGAGUUUGCGACCUCGAUGUUGAAUUAAAAUUUCUUUGUGAUGCAGCAGUUACAUGGGAGGG
This 433-nucleotide ribosomal RNA is filed under the name Cherax punctatus. Its description in RNAcentral is "partial 16S ribosomal RNA". It matches the Rfam family "Archaeal large subunit ribosomal RNA", at positions 2011 to 2644 of the family's 2987-position model. Lineage: Eukaryota; Metazoa; Arthropoda; Malacostraca; Decapoda; Parastacidae. The record is from RNAcentral.